This 235-nucleotide long non-coding RNA is filed under the name Setaria italica (foxtail millet). RNAcentral's name for it is "long non-coding RNA (SITA_LNC004585)". Lineage: Eukaryota; Viridiplantae; Streptophyta; Magnoliopsida; Poales; Poaceae. The record is from RNAcentral.
ACCAUCUCCAUUGUCUAGCUGUAAUCCUGGCAUCCUGCAUAUAGGAAGACAUGGGGGCAGGAAGGGGGAAUAGGAGGAGCAAAGGGAGCAGACGGUCGAUCGAAGCUCUCAAGGAGUGCCGAGCUAGGCUGUGCAUCAUCAGGUGGUGCAUCGUCAGGCUCUUCUGUUGCCGUGACUGAGAGAUAUUGGCAGAUUCAGUACCGGCCCGGGUUUGAGUCCUAGCACUUCUUUAACG